Molecule: long non-coding RNA, 1390 nt
Organism: Toxorhynchites rutilus septentrionalis
Lineage: Eukaryota; Metazoa; Arthropoda; Insecta; Diptera; Culicidae
Exons: 4
Source: RefSeq, a predicted model, not a curated record
AUAAAACACGUUGUUAGUUUUUCUCUGAGUAUACUCAUCGUGUUCGUGUUUAUUUAUCCCGAUCCGAAAGUCCAUCCGCCGGAUAAUUUCAGAUUUUAACAAAAAUAAACGUUUCUGGGUGUUUAACAUUUUUAUUUAUUUGUUGUGCCUGGUGCUUGGGUGUUCAUUUUUAUAAUUCUGUUUUACAAGCACUGAUUUACGAGAUGGCUUACUGUGCUGGUCAUGGUUGCGGAACACCACGUUCGCAAAACAAUAGAACAGCGCGAACUCGUCCAAAUAUACACCCAACAUCCUUCAUCACAGUUCAUAGCCGCUUCAUGAUCACGAGGUACACCAAGCUUAGUUUUAUUGCCAACAGACCUUAGUUCAUUAGGCAGACGGUUAGGUUCAGAGAGCCAGCUAACAUCAUCGAAUUCAACGCACUACAGGCAUGGAGAACAAUUAAGUUCUGAUGACGCACAUCACACCGUUCAGCUCUUUCCAGUGCAUCGGUUUUGCUGAAUAAACUCAACCGCCUAUCGAAUAUGCUUCAAGUAAAAUACUUCACUACUUACCAGGGAAGACACAGAUUUUUGUGUUUUAAAUUCCAUCUCUAUUCCAAUGAACCUGUUAUAUCUGUUCCAGUUGGAGCGUCUGAUAGAAUAAAAAUCUUUUGUAGGAGCAGCCGAAAACUUGUCAAGACAUACCACCAACAUCUGGACAACACGAAUUGUUCAUCGCUACUUUAUGAACACGAGCCACACAGCUAGGUUUUUUUUGCCAACAAUCCGCAGUUCAUGAUGCAGACCAUUAAAGACCCAGCUAGCAUCAUGCAUUCUGAAGGGAAAACACAAUCUAGUUUAUGUAAAUCAAAGCUCUUCGACAUUUUCCCUACUUUUCCCACAAUGUAAGCACUAAUCAGUUAUUGUACAUAUUUAGUAGAUGCCGCUAGUUCCAUUACUUUCGAACCAGCUAACGUCGCCAAUGAUCGUAUCGCAACACGAUGGUAAAGCAGCAGAUUCAUCCAACCCAUAACCGUAGCGUGUACUUCAACAAAUUUCCCAAGAAGCUCUCAUGCUGCAACAAAGAAUCAACGUGCAAAUAGCCUGCUAACAUAAACAAAUUCGACGCACUUUUUCUUCUGUGAAAGCAUUGAACCACUGCGACUACUAUUUUGAUCUAUUGUGAUUGUUCCGUCCAAGAAACGUACGGAAGGGAAAACGCAUCCAAUCGCAAGUACCACCCCUUCUCAUUCGGCACGAAGCGAAGGAGAGUCAAAGAAGCCAUCCGAACGCGCGAAGAUCAGUCUAUUUUCAACCGUAAUGCAAGCCACAUCAGUAGCAGCAAGUGCAGCAGCAUAGUAUCAACAUCGAUAGCAGCAACACUACCAGAAGAAUAGUGGCGCAUUCGC